This 492-nucleotide ribosomal RNA is filed under the name uncultured bacterium. Its description in RNAcentral is "partial 16S ribosomal RNA". It matches the Rfam family "Bacterial small subunit ribosomal RNA", at positions 29 to 507 of the family's 1533-position model. The record is from RNAcentral.
AGUGAACGCUGGCGGUAGGCCUAACACAUGCAAGUCGAACGGCAGCACAGUAAGAGCUUGCUCUUACGGGUGGCGAGUGGCGGACGGGUGAGGAAUACAUCGGAAUCUACUUUUUCGUGGGGGAUAACGUAGGGAAACUUACGCUAAUACCGCAUACGACCUACGGGUGAAAGCAGGAGAUCUUCGGACCUUGCGCGAUUGAAUGAGCCGAUGUCGGAUUAGCUAGUUGGCGGGGUAAAGGCCCACCAAGGCGACGCUCCGUAGCUGGUCUGAGAGGAUGAUCAGCCACACUGGAACUGAGACACGGUCCAGACUCCUACGGGAGGCAGCAGUGGGGAAUAUUGGACAAUGGGCGCAAGCCUGAUCCAGCCAUACCGCGUGAGUGAAGAAGGCCUUCGGGUUGUAAAGCCCUUUUGUUGGGAAAGAAAAGCAGCAGGUUAAUACCCCGCUGUUCUGACGGUACCCAAAGAAUAAGCACCGGCUAACUUCGUG